Molecule: long non-coding RNA, 222 nt
Filed under: Marmota monax (woodchuck)
Lineage: Eukaryota; Metazoa; Chordata; Mammalia; Rodentia; Sciuridae
Source: RNAcentral
GUCUGGAGUCAGGGGUCUGUUUGUGUGUUUCCACAGGGAGACAGCAGCCGAUUUGGAUUCCAGAGAGAUUAACUAAGGUCCUGACCCAGUGAUUGUCUGGAGUUGGGGGUCUGUUUGUAUGUUUCCACAGGGAGAACAGCAGCCGAUUUGGAUUCCAGAGAGAUUAACUAAAGCGAUUUCUACAGACCAAAAAGAAGAUGAUUUGGCUCAAAUCCAAAACAG